RNAcentral lists this ribosomal RNA (490 nucleotides) under uncultured bacterium. RNAcentral describes it as "partial 16S ribosomal RNA". It matches the Rfam family "Bacterial small subunit ribosomal RNA", at positions 30 to 507 of the family's 1533-position model. The record is from RNAcentral.
AUUGAACGCUGGCGGCAUGCUUUACACAUGCCAGUCGAACGGCAGCGGGGUAGUGCUUGCACUACUGCCGGCGAGUGGCGAACGGGUGAGUAAUAUAUCGGAACGUACCGAGUAAUGGGGGAUAACCAAUCGAAAGAUUGGCUAAUACCGCAUACGUCCUGAGGGAGAAAGCGGGGGAUCGCAAGACCUCGCGUUAUUCGAGCGGCCGAUAACUGAUUAGCUAGUUGGUGGGGUAAAGGCCUACCAAGGCGACGAUCAGUAGCGGGUCUGAGAGGACGAUCCGCCACACUGGGACUGAGACACGGCCCAGACUCCUACGGGAGGCAGCAGUGGGGAAUUUUGGACAAUAGGGGCAACCCUGAUCCAGCCAUGCCGCGUGUAUGAAGAAGGCCUUCGGGUUGUAAAGUACUUUUGCUAGGGAAGAAAAGGGAAGUGCUAAUACCACUUUUUGCUGACGGUACCUAAAGAAUAAGCACCGGCUAACUACGUG